This 479-nucleotide ribosomal RNA is filed under the name uncultured bacterium. RNAcentral describes it as "partial 16S ribosomal RNA". It matches the Rfam family "Bacterial small subunit ribosomal RNA", at positions 28 to 523 of the family's 1533-position model. The record is from RNAcentral.
GACGAACGCUGGCGGCGUGCUUAACACAUGCAAGUCGAGCGAUGAAGCACCUCCGGGUGUGAAUUAGCGGCGAACGGGUGAGGAACACGUGAGAAAUCUGCCUUCAACACUAGGAUAACUCCGGGAAACCGGGGCUAAUACCGGAUAUGAAACCUGCGGGCAUCCGCGGGUUUGGAAAGUUUUUCGGUUGAAGAUGAUCUCGCGGCCUAUCAGCUUGUUGGUGAGGUAAUGGCUCACCAAGGCGACGACGGGUAGCCGGCCUGAGAGGGCGACCAGACACACGGGGACUGAGACACGGACCAGACUCCUACGGGAGGCAGCAGUGGGGAAUAUUGGGCAAUGGAGAAAACUCUGACCCAGCGACGCCGCGUGCGGGAUGAAGGCCUUCGGGUUGUAAACCGCUUUCAGCAGGGAAGAAGCGAAAGUGACGGUACCUGCAGAAGAAGCACCGGCUAACUAUGUGCCAGCCGCCGCAGUAA